RNAcentral lists this ribosomal RNA (855 nucleotides) under uncultured marine group I thaumarchaeote. RNAcentral's name for it is "SSU rRNA". It matches the Rfam family "Archaeal small subunit ribosomal RNA", at positions 12 to 873 of the family's 1478-position model. The record is from RNAcentral. Lineage: Archaea; Thermoproteati; Nitrososphaerota.
UCCCGCCGGACCUGACUGCUAUCGGAUUGAUACUAAGCCAUGCGAGUCUUUGUAGUAAUACAAGGCAGACGGCUCAGUAACACGUAGUCAACCUACCCUAUGGACGAGAAUAAUCUCGGGAAACUGAGCAUAAUUCUCGAUAGAUCAUAAUGCCUGGAAUGGUUUAUGGUUAAAAUGAUUCGUCGCCAUAGGAUGGGACUGCGGCCUAUCAGCUUGUUGGUGAGGUAAUGGCCCACCAAGGCGAUUACAGGUACGGGCUCUGAGAGGAGAAGCCCGGAGAUGGGUACUGAGACACGGACCCAGGCCCUAUGGGGCGCAGCAGGCGAGAAAACUUUGCAAUGUGCGAAAGCACGACAAGGUUAAUCCGAGUGAUUUCUGCUAAAGAAAUCUUUUGCCAGUCAUAAAACCACUGGUGAAUAAGGGGUGGGCAAGUUCUGGUGUCAGCCGCCGCGGUAAAACCAGCACCUCAAGUGGUCAGGAUGAUUAUUGGGCCUAAAGCAUCCGUAGCCGGCUUUGUAAGUUUUCGGUUAAAUCCAUGUGCUCAACGCAUGGGCUGCCGAAAAUACUGCAUAGCUAGGGAGUGGGAGAGGUAGACGGUACUCAGUAGGAAGGGGUAAAAUCCUUUGAUCUAUUGAUGACCACCUGUGGCGAAGGCGGUCUACCAGAACACGUUCGACGGUGAGGGAUGAAAGCUGGGGGAGCAAACCGGAUUAGAUACCCGGGUAGUCCCAGCUGUAAACGAUGCAGACUCGAUGAUGCAUUGGCAUAAUAGCCAGUGCAGUGUCGCAGGGAAGCCGUUAAGUCUGCCGCCUGGGAAGUACGUACGCAAGUAUGAAACUUAAAGGAUUGGCGGGG